AUCUGACAGUGGAGAUAAUAAUCACAUCCUCUUCAUCACCUUGAAAUCCAUCAACAGUAGAAACUUUGAUAGAGAAUUGACUCUCUGCAUCUGUGCUAUAUGCCUUCCCAAGUUUUUUCUGAAUUUCAUGAACUUGAGCCUUGUAUGGUGAUAUGAUACCAACACUAACUUUCUCUUUUCUGGCUUUGGUUUCUGUAUAGAAUAGAAAUUAAUUGAAGAAAGACGGAAUUCCCCAUCUCAGAGAUGGUCCAAAGCAUACAGUCAAUAUAUGAUAACAACACC
This 282-nucleotide long non-coding RNA is filed under the name Vitis vinifera (wine grape). Its description in RNAcentral is "long non-coding RNA (VVIN_LNC005547)". The record is from RNAcentral. Lineage: Eukaryota; Viridiplantae; Streptophyta; Magnoliopsida; Vitales; Vitaceae.